GGCUCCUCGGCCGGCGCGGGCCGGUGCUCCUUCGUCGCGGGGGCGUCGGGCUCGGCGUCGAGCCAGCCGUGGUGUUCGUCCUCGGAGGGACCG
Molecule: transfer RNA, 93 nt
Filed under: freshwater metagenome
Description: tRNA-Asp
Source: RNAcentral